RNAcentral lists this ribosomal RNA (253 nucleotides) under uncultured bacterium. RNAcentral's name for it is "partial 16S ribosomal RNA". It matches the Rfam family "Bacterial small subunit ribosomal RNA", at positions 524 to 776 of the family's 1533-position model. The record is from RNAcentral.
UACGUAGGGUGCGAGCGUUAAUCGGAAUUACUGGGCGUAAAGCGUGCGCAGGCGGUUUUGUAAGCCAGGUGUGAAAUCCCCGGGCUCAACCUGGGAAUGGCAUUUGGGACUGCAAGGCUGGAGUGCGGCAGAGGAGACUGGAAUUCCUGGUGUAGCAGUGAAAUGCGCAGAUAUCGGGAGGAACACCGGUGGCGAAGGCGGUUCUCUGGGCCUGUACUGACGCUGAGGAACGAAAGCGUGGGGAGCGAACAGG